CCUACGGGUGGCAGCAGUGAGGAAUAUUGGUCAAUGGCCGGAAGGCUGAACCAGCCAUGCCGCGUGAAGGUCAGUGCCCUAUGGGCGUUAAACUUCUUUUGUGCGGGAGCAAUAAUGGUCACGUGUGGCCAGACGAGAGUACCGUACGAAUAAGCAUCGGCUAACUCCGUGCCAGCAGCCGCGGUAAUACGGGGGAUGCAAGCGUUAUCCGGAUUUAUUGGGGUUAAAGGGUGCGUAGGCUGUGAGGUAAGUCAGCGGUGAAAUGCCCCCGCUCAACGGGGUGAAGUGCCAUUGAUACUGCCUUGCUGGAAUGCGGAUGCCGUGGGAGGAAUGUUUGGUGUAGCGGUGAAAUGCAUAGAUAUCACACCGAACACCGAUUGCGAAGGCAUCUCACGAAUCCGCGAUUGACGCUGAUGCACGAAAGCGUGGGUAUCAAACCGGAUUAGAUACCCGGGUAGUC
RNAcentral lists this ribosomal RNA (460 nucleotides) under uncultured bacterium. Its description in RNAcentral is "partial 16S ribosomal RNA". It matches the Rfam family "Bacterial small subunit ribosomal RNA", at positions 338 to 795 of the family's 1533-position model. The record is from RNAcentral.